ACGGGGGAAAGCAGGGGAUCUUCGGACCUUGCGCUAAUAGAUGAGCCUAAGUCGGAUUAGCUAGUUGGUGGGGUAAAGGCCUACCAAGGCGACGAUCUGUAGCGGGUCUGAGAGGAUGAUCCGCCACACUGGGACUGAGACACGGCCCAGACUCCUACGGGAGGCAGCAGUGGGGAAUAUUGGACAAUGGGCGGAAGCCUGAUCCAGCCAUGCCGCGUGUGUAAAGAAGGCCUUUUGGUUGUAAAGCACUUUAAGCGAGGAGGAGGCUACUUAGAUUAAUACUCUAGGUUAGUGGACGUUACUCGCAG
RNAcentral lists this ribosomal RNA (308 nucleotides) under Acinetobacter sp. oral taxon D46. RNAcentral's name for it is "bacterial SSU rRNA". It matches the Rfam family "Bacterial small subunit ribosomal RNA", at positions 196 to 484 of the family's 1533-position model. Lineage: Bacteria; Pseudomonadati; Pseudomonadota; Gammaproteobacteria; Moraxellales; Moraxellaceae. The record is from RNAcentral.